CCAAGUGAUAGUGGCAUACGGUGGAUGCCUUGGCACCAGGCGCCGAUGAAGGACGUGGGAGGCCGCGAUAGUCCACGGGGAGUUGUCAACCGAGCUUUGAUCCGUGGGUGUCCGAAUGGGGAAACCUAGCCCGAGUUGUGUCGGGUUGCCGCUGUCUGAAUGUAUAGGGCAGUUGGUGGUGACGCGGGGAAGUGAAACAUCUCAGUACCCGUAGGAAGAGUAAACAACAGUGAUUCCCUGAGUAGUGGUGAGCGAACGGGGAAGAGGCUAAACCGUGCGCGUGUGAUAGACGGCAGUCGUUGCGUGUGCGGGGUUGUGGGGUGCAUCUUUUCAGGUCUGCCGGCCUGGAGCGCUGAUGGUUCUUCUAGCUGAAUCCGUUGGGAAGCGGUACCGGAGUGGGUGAGAGUCCCGUAGGUGAAGGAAGAGUCUAGGUGUUGAUGUUCUCCCGAGUAGCGCGGAGCCCGAGGAAUUCCGUGUGAAUCUGGCAGGACCACCUGCUAAGCCAAAAUACGUCCUGGUGACCGAUAGUGCACUAGUACCGUGAGGGAAAGGUGAAAAGUGCCCCGGUGAGGGGUCGUGAAAUAGUACCUGAAACCGUGUGCUGUCAAGCCGUCAGAGCUGACUUUCGGGUUGGUGAUGGCGUGCCUUUUGAAGAAUGAGCCUGCGAGUCAUGGUGUGUGGCGAGGUUAACCCGGGUGGGGUAGCCGUAGGGAAACCGAGUCUGAAGAGGGCGUUGAGUCGCAUGCUGUGGACCCGAAGCGGGGUGAUCUACCCAUGUCCAGGGUGAAGCGGGGGUAAGACCUCGUGGAGGCCCGAACCCACCAGGGUUGAAAACCUGGGGGAUGAGGUGUGGGUAGGGGUGAAAGGCCAAUCAAACUCCGUGAUAGCUGGUUCUCCCCGAAAUGCAUUUAGGUGCAGCGUCGCGUGUUUCUUGCUGGAGGUAGAGCUACUGUUUGGCUGAUGGGCCCGACAAGGUUACUGACGUCAGACAAACUCCGAAUGCCGGUGAAGUGAAGCGCGGCAGUGAGACUGCGGGGGAUAAGCUUCGUAGUCGAGAGGGAAACAGCCCAGAUCAUCAGCUAAGGCCCCUAAGCGUGUGCUAAGUGGGAAAGGUUGUGGAGUUGCUGAGACAACCAGGAGGUUGGCUUAGAAGCAGCCAUCCUUUAAAGAGUGCGUAAUAGCUCACUGGUCAAGUGGUUCUGCGCCGAUAAUGUAGCGGGGCUAAAGCACACCGCCGAAGCUGUGGAGCCCAGUCGUUUGGCUGGGUUGGUAGGGGAGCGUCGUGCAUCCGGUGAAGCUGCCGAGUGAUCGUGUGGUGGAGGGUGUGCGAGUGAGAAUGCAGGCAUGAGUAGCGAAAGCAACGUGAGAAACGUUGCCGCCGAUUGACUAAGGGUUCCUGGGGCAGGUUAAUCCGCCCAGGGUGAGUCUGGACCUAAGGCGAGGCCGACAGGCGUAGUCGAUGGAUAACGGGUUGAUAUUCCCGUACCCGUGCACGAGCGUCCAGUAUCGAGGCGACGGAUGCUAACCACGCUGGAUGCCUAGGGUCCCUUCGGGGAGCUUGGGUUUUCUGGUCUGGGAACCGAUGUUGUAGUAGGUAAGUGAUGGGGUGACNCCUUCUUCGACCUUCGGGUUGGGGUUGGUUUCUGGUCUGGGAACCGAUGUUGUAGUAGGUAAGUGAUGGGGUGACGCAGGAGGGUAGCUCUACCCGGCGGUGGUUGUCCGGGGGUAAGCGUGUAGGCUGGUGUGUUGGUAAAUCCGCAUGCCGUGUGGCUGAGACGUGAUGCCGAGCCGUUUUUGGUGAAGUGAGUGAUCCCAUGCUGUCGAGAAAAGCCUCUAGCGAGUUCGUGUGUGGCCAGUACCCUAAACCGACGCAGGUGGUCAGGUAGAGAAUACCGAGGCGUUCGGGUGAACCAUGGUUAAGGAACUCGGCAAAUUGUCCCCGUAACUUUGGGAGAAGGGGAGCCCUGUCUGGUGAAAGAGUUUUCCUCUGGAGCUGGGUGGGGUCGCAGAUAGCGGGGGGAAGCGACUGUUUAUUAAAAACACAGGUCCGUGCGAAGUCGUAAGACGCUGUAUACGGACUGACGCCUGCCCGGUGCUGGAACGUUAAGAGGACUGGUUAGUGGGUUUCGGCCCGCGAAGCUGGGAAUCUAAGCGCCAGUAAACGGCGGUGGUAACUAUAACCAUCCUAAGGUAGCGAAAUUCCUUGUCGGGUAAGUUCCGACCUGCACGAAUGGCGUAACGACUUCCCCACUGUCUCAACCAUGGGCCCGGUGAAAUUGCACUACGAGUAAAGAUGCUCGUUUCGCGCAGCAGGACGGAAAGACCCCGGGACCUUCACUAUAGCUUGACAUUGGUGUUUGGGAUGGUUUGUGUAGGAUAGGUGGGAGCCGGUGAAGCUGUCACGCUAGUGGCGGUGGAGGCGUUGGUGAAAUACCACUCUGACUGUUUCGGGCAUCUAACUUUGGACCGUGAUCCGGUUCGGGGACAGUGUCUGGUGGGUAGUUUAACUGGGGCGGUUGCCUCCUAAAGAGUAACGGAGGCGCCCAAAGGUUCCCUCAGCCUGGUUGGUAAUCAGGUGUUGAGUGUAAGUGCACAAGGGAGCUUGACUGUGAGACGGACGUGUCGAGCAGGAGCGAAAGCUGGGACUAGUGAUCCGGCACCGGCGUGUGGAAGCGGUGUCGCUCAACGGCUAAAAGGUACCCCGGGGAUAACAGGCUGAUCUUCCCCAAGAGUCCGUAUCGACGGGAUGGUUUGGCACCUCGAUGUCGGCUCGUCGCAUCCUGGGGCUGGAGUUGGUCCCAAGGGUUGGGCUGUUCGCCCAUUAAAGCGGCACGCGAGCUGGGUUUAGAACGUCGUGAGACAGUUCGGUCCCUAUCCGCUGUGCGCGUUGGAGACUUGAGAAGGGCUGUCCCUAGUACGAGAGGACCGGGACGGACGAACCUCUGGUGUGCCAGUUGUCCUGCCAAGGGCAUGGCUGGUUGGCUACGUUCGGGAGGGAUAACCGCUGAAAGCAUCUAAGCGGGAAGCUUGCUUCGAGAUGAGGUCUCCUGCCUCCUUUGAGAGGGUAAGACUCCCUAGAGACGAUAGGGUUGAUAGGCCGGGUGUGGAAGCCUUGUGAGGG
Molecule: ribosomal RNA, 3121 nt
Filed under: Nocardiopsis lucentensis DSM 44048
Lineage: Bacteria; Bacillati; Actinomycetota; Actinomycetes; Streptosporangiales; Nocardiopsidaceae
Description: bacterial LSU rRNA
Rfam family: Bacterial large subunit ribosomal RNA
Source: RNAcentral